CUCCUGGCCAUCCUUCCCCCAGAGAUGGAGAGCUGGGUUCGGAUGUGGAGCGGAGACCACUUCCAAGCAGUGGCCUUGGCAGAGGGUUUCCUCCUGAGCCAGGCAGAGGAGACGAAACGGGAAAGAGGAGCAGGACGUAUUUGUGAAAGAGAUGGCUGAGAAGGAGAAGUGUCCUUUUGAAUCCAGUCCAAGGCAGGGGCCCAAGUGGAUCACGCAAGACACGAAGGAAGUGUCCUCUUCAAUGAG
Long non-coding RNA from Sceloporus undulatus (fence lizard), 246 nucleotides. RefSeq lists it as uncharacterized. Lineage: Eukaryota; Metazoa; Chordata; Lepidosauria; Squamata; Phrynosomatidae. The record is from RefSeq and is a predicted model, not a curated record. The transcript has 3 exons.